GAUUGUAUAAUUAUGGGAAGAUG
Molecule: non-coding RNA, 23 nt
Filed under: Arabidopsis thaliana (thale cress)
Lineage: Eukaryota; Viridiplantae; Streptophyta; Magnoliopsida; Brassicales; Brassicaceae
Source: RNAcentral